UCCUUGAAAAAAAAAACAUGUCCCUCCAUUACUAAUGGGAAACACUUAUAAUCUGUAGUCUGAUCAGAAGCAGUGCGUUAGACCGAUUGACUACCGUUGAUCCGGUUGUAAUCUUCCGGUUAGGAUACUACUUCUUAUCCCGUCUCCUCUCCUUGAAAAAAAAAUGUCCCUCCAUUACUAAUCCCUGGAUCUACCGCAUCCCCUAAUCAGCCGCGCGGAAUUCCUCCCAAAAUUUCUCUCACAUGCAUUUCCACCAAGAUCGCCGUCAACGGGACUGCUCCUUCAUCUUUGUUUGCGCUACCCACCAUGUGCAGUUGCAGGUGCGACAUCCUCUUGUUUUGUUCUUCUUGGUUGGUGCUUUCACGGGUUACCAAGAGGCUGAAUCGGCCGUCGUAGUAGCACCAGCCGGCUGGAGAACAAGCAGUGCCCUAUGUCAACCUCAGCCAUGCUUCCUGUUUCUACACAAUGUCAAAGAGGCUAUGUUGGUGACAAGUGAUGGGAAUAGGACCUGCUACAGC
This is a long non-coding RNA of Hordeum vulgare subsp. vulgare (domesticated barley), 518 nucleotides long. RefSeq lists it as uncharacterized. NCBI's taxonomy places the organism in Eukaryota, Viridiplantae, Streptophyta, Magnoliopsida, Poales, Poaceae. The transcript has 3 exons. The record is from RefSeq and is a predicted model, not a curated record.